RNAcentral lists this long non-coding RNA (5284 nucleotides) under Eucalyptus grandis. RNAcentral's name for it is "long non-coding RNA (EGRA_LNC004490)". The record is from RNAcentral. Lineage: Eukaryota; Viridiplantae; Streptophyta; Magnoliopsida; Myrtales; Myrtaceae.
ACUUGUCAUAACCUGCAAGCACACCAGCACCAGCAACGGCACGGAGGAUGUUUGCACCAGCACCCUUGAAGAGAGACCUGGCACCCUCAUUCUUCAGAAUUUGGGAGAAAGCAUCCAGGGAACUCUUGUACUUGACAGCUUCACCAGAGGUCAUCAUCAUUCUUCUGCGAACAGUGUCAAUUGGAUAGGAUGCAAGCCCAGCACCAUUUGUGAUGAGCCAGCCAAGAGCAAAGCUAGCAAAGAAACUAUCCUGAAAUGAUUAAACAACAGAUGUCAUAAGGGGGAAAUAACAGCAAAGCUCAUGUGAUAAAUUAAUCUCAGUUUCAAAUCCUGAUAGCAAAGCUCAAAAUAGCAAUUAUUAUCAUCUCCUACUUUAUUCCUCAAAAACUAUUCUGCAAUUCAUUAUGGCAAAAUAGGAGUUCCUAAUUCACUAUAUCAGCUGAGACGUGAAAUCAGAAAAUCGCAUGUCUCUCAAGAAAUCCUUACCUGUAAAGUUCCAGUCAAGAGAACUGGCUUCAAAGAAUCGUACAUUCCAAAGUAGAGUCCACGGUACACAAUAAUUCCAACACAAGAGAUGUUGAAACCACGGUAAAGGCCAGCAAUACCAUCAGAAGCCAGUGUCUUUCUGUAAACAUCAACAAGACCAUUGAACUGCCUCUCCCCACCCUUCUUGGCAGCCUUUGCAUCAUUGGCCAGACGCGUACGGGCAUAGUCCAGGGAGUACACAAACAGAAGGGAAGAAGCACCAGCCGCGCCUCCUGAUGCCAAGUUACCAGCAAACCACUUCCAGUAGCCAUCCUUGUCUUUCUUGAAGUUAAACAGCCUCUUGAAGUAAUCCUUGAAUGCAAAGUUCAAGGCCUGGCCCAAAUUUCAAAUAACAGUAAGAUAAAUGCCUUACAUAAACAAGCUGCAAAAACCAGGAAAAAGCAUAAAGCAUGAGUCACCUGAGUGGGGAAAUAACGGAUAACAUUAGCAGUGUUCCCCCUCCACAAGGAACCGAAUCCCUCAUCCUUUAUUGUCCUCCCAAAACAAUCACCAAUGCCCUUGUAUGGUUCAGACAGCCUACCAGUCUUAAUCAUCUCAUCCUGGUUCUGAAUUAGCAGCUGCCGUCUUGGAUACAGCGGCAGAGACUCCACCCAUCAGGAAAUCGAUGGCAAAGCCAGCAAGUCCUUUCUCUGCAGCCAGCAAGUCCUUUCUCUGCUGGGGCAUGAACAAACACAGGAGAUGCUGUCGAUGCAACCAUGGACAAGUCAGAGGAUGCUCUGCAUGCUGGCACUGUUGAAUAAUUCCAAGCAGCAUUGGUGUAAUUUCCAUAUGCACGCCGUUGGGAAAGAGCAGGCCUCUGGAAAGCCCCAUCACAACCUCGCGUGUCUUGAGAAAGACUAGUGCGCAGAAGGAGCUGGCCAGCUACCUUCUGCAUGACAGUUGGGUGUUGAACUUGAUCAACCAUCUUUGCUUCACCUGCAACAAUGACGCACUCAGUUUCCAUGGUAGCCAAUUGAGAAAUAAUUAUUCAACAGUCAUUAAGCAAUUGGGGAUACUAGUGUUGUACGAUUUCUGGCGAAGCAACAAACUGAGAAUUUUUUCUCAGUUGCUGCAGCGGACCUGGGCCACAUAUACUGAGGUAUGAUGAAAAUAACUUCAUAUAAGUUACGCGUGGCACCAUCUACAGUAAUACUCAGAAAAAUCAAAACCCAAAGAAUUGAAUUGCCGCAAUCCCAGUCAAAGCUUGAUAAUGAUAGGUGUAAAGCAGUCCUACAAGCAACACGAACACGAAACGUUCGCCUCCCCACAGACAUCAAGACCCUUUGACAGGGGAUGAGGAUAAAGUAAAACGCGAGCAAUCAGCAUCUUAUCAAAAAACACAAUAUGAACCGAGUAAUACUACAGAACAAAAGCAAGUCAAGAGGAAAACCAUAGUGCGUCAAAGCAAGGAUCACCUUAAAAUUCAUUCAUUUACAGUAAAGCGACCUAGACAGCAAUCAGAUAGGUACCCCACAAGCAAAAGCAAUAAAAUGGGUUACUACAGGUAUAUCGAUCGUUGAUUCGAUGGGGAAACAAUUUGUCGAGAUCCGAAAAGAGAAGCACACUCAGCAAAGCAUUGGUCAAGACACAAUCUAACAAAACGUCUAGAAACAGCCACCGUCUCAUCACAAGAGCAGCACGGGAGCGGAAAAUCUAAAACGAAUCGAAGUGAAACCCGAGUCCGUCACGAGUUCAAUCAAAUCAGAAGAAAACUGUAUAGAACGAAUCUCAGGACCGAUGAAGUGGGAAGCCUAGUAAGCAAGUGCUGAGAUCUAAAAAGCGAUCAGACAAUCUCACUCUCAGAUCUGAAGCAAGAGCCAGGAACAAAUCAAGACCACCGCACCGCUACAGCAUAUCAGACCAGAAUAUGAAAGAAAAUCAAACGGAUCUAACACGGAAAAUGAAAACGGGAGAACGAUCGCGCCGAGACUGCCACCGGAUCUGAGAUGCGGACGAUGCAAAAACACGAUGAAAAGGAAUCGAAAGAAAAGAAAGAUCUACCGGGACGAGUCGAGCCUACGACGCAAGAAAUGGAUCCGAGAGAAGGAGGGAAGCAAGCGGGAGCAGAGGAGAGAUAUAAUGGGGAGCGAUACCUGAGGAAGGAAGGGGAGAGAAGUCGUCGAUUGGAGGCUGCGAAAGGACUUCGGAGCCUCUCUCUCUCUCUCUCUCUCUCUGCGCGUGCGAGGAGCGAGGUGAAGACCGAGGGAAACCUGGAGGAAAGAGGCGAUUUCUGAGGAGGCGUGCCGUCCUUUUAUAUUUCGCUUUCAGACGCCAGAGAGGCACUUUGAAAAGAGCGACCUUUUUCGUGAUCUCGUGCUUUCAGUCCUCCUACUUUAUGAAAAUUCUCAUUUCGGCCCGUCAUUUUCUAUUUGCCGAUAAUUGGAUCCCUCCGUUUCAAUAAAAUCGUAUGACCACAUGGUACGAUGAGAGUUAAUGUAACCAAUUCGAUCGUCCAGUUAAACAAAAAGAUAACUUAUAGCGAAGAAUAAGACGGAUCAACAUGCUGAUAUGAUGAUAUCGAAUCGAAUUGAUAAUAGACAUACAUCUAUUGAUCCGGCAUCCAUCUAAAUAGAUAAUAUUUUGAUCAGUAAUGAUUUUCAAUGAAUGCAAAAAUGGCAGAUGAAUUUUGUCAAACUGAUUAUUGGGCACUUUUGCUACUUCGUAUAUCUUCUUCUUCUUUUUCGCUCUACGAGAUUAAUGGGAGCGCCAAUCAAUCGGCGUGGAAGGGACAGCCUCGCAAGAAAUGCACGUAAGAAGAUGCUGUAGAGGAGGAGCGAGGACACAUAAUUUGUAGGGAACGGCUGGUCAACGGCAUCCUCCCUCCAGUACGAUUCACGCUUUUGCUGGCUUUGAUUGAUGUCCACAUAUCACCUGUAUUUCCCGACGUCCUUUUCAGCAUUCUCAACGACCAUCCUCGUCAAUUCCAGGCACAGUUUGCUAAGGGUACUGUCCAGCCAAAUUAAAACGUGAUAAAAUGCCUGGGAUUUUGAUUGUUGGAAUCCUCCGACACAUUAUUAGGUGCAUCAACUGAUAACCAAUUGCGAAACACUUUUACAUUUUUCCUAUAACUCUUAUUAACAAUGUCACCUCAAUACCGUCCGGUCAACGGCUUUCCUUUCAUUCAAAAUGGCCGGAGAACAAAAUGAUCCAACAAAGAACAAGAUGUUUUUCCAAACUCAAAUUUGAUGUUUGUUCUUCGGUAAAAGCGGAAGCUUCCACGGGCAAAUGAAAGAAAAAAGAAAAAAGGAGCUUUAGCGCCCAUGUUUGACCCGUGACCGAGCUUCCUUCCAUUCACGGACAAGGAUCCGCUUGACAUUAAUAUAUGCAUCUUCAAUUGCUAUUUCGAUCGAAAGGGGGAAAAGUGCAACAGAUUUUUCGUUCCCAAUUUUUCUAAAAAUUGUCCUUAAAUCAUAAAAUAAAAAUGGAACUGCCAGAUUAUGCAUAUACUUGCAUUGCAUCAAAAUUAUGUUUUUAGCCCUAGGGUUUUUAUUUGGGACGAAAAGAUUCUUUAUAUUUGUUCACCCUUGUGCUGACGAUUAUUUUCUUUCGCCAGAUGUCUUUUUCCAUCCAAUUGGGCGUGCCUUUUUGUUUUCCAUCUCUGUUGCUAACUUGAAAUGAGGAUUUCGCGAAGCUGCCCUUUCUUGGUAAUAGAGAUCCUUCCGCCACUGAGAUCCACUGAAUCUCGAAACCACAGAAGCUUCAGCUGUCCUUACCAUCUCCCUCCCCUCUGUUCACCCCCGAGAUCGGAGUGACUUCAACCCAACUUUACGUUCUACCAGAAACAAUACGGUACUACCUCAGGCAGUGGGACACCCGGUAUUACUUGGUAGCAUGUUUAAAGGAGACUUUCUACACCUCCAUAUUAUGGAGCAUCCGCAUAUGCAACCACCAACACAAUCAUAAAUUCAAAAAAUAAAUGACAGAAAGUAUGCUGUGACUCUUCCCACAUGAUUAAAACCCGGUUCGGAUAAAACCUACAGAACACCUCAUGAAAAAGAUUCUCCAAAUCAUGUGAUAUAAGUUCCUAGCAGCAGAAUGACAGACUACUGCUUCAAUAAAUCACGGUCUAUAGGGUCAAAUUUCCAGCCAAGAAUAACAACUGUUCGGGAGAAACUCCCUCUAAAUUUGAAUUAUUUCACCAAAAAAAUUUGCCGGGCUAAAGAGUAAGAGCUCGAUCAUUUUCAUCAACGUCAAUAUCUAAACAGCACAUUGGAGAUUGUGUUUGUGCUUAGGCACCACCAGAUCCAUACUUCUUCCCGAAUACGAUCAGCUGCAACUUAUCAUAGCCUGCAAGCACACCAGCACCAGCAACGGCACGGAGGAUGUUUGCACCAGCACCCUUGAAGAGAGACUUGGCACCCUCAUUCUUCAGAAUUUGGGAGAAAGCAUCCAGGGAACUCUUGUACUUGACAGCUUCACCAGAGGUCAUCAUCAUUCUUCUGCGAACAGUGUCAAUUGGAUAGGAUGCAAGCCCAGCACCAUUUGUGAUGAGCCAGCCAAGAGCAAAGCUAGCAAAGAAACUAUCCUGAAAUGAUUAAACAACAGAUGUCAUAAGGGGGAAAUAACAGCAAAGCUCAUGUGAUAAAUUAAUCUCGAUUUCAAAUCCUGAUAGCAAAGCUCAAAAAAGCAAUUAUCAUCUCCUACUUUAUUCCUCAAAAACUAUUCAGCAAUUCAUUAUGGCAAAAUAGGAGUUCCUAAUUCACUAUAUCAGCUGAGACGUGAAAUCAGAAAAUCGCAUGUCUCUCAAGAAAUCCUUACC